GAUGAACGCUAGCUACAGGCUUAACACAUGCAAGUCGAGGGACCGGCGCACGGGUGAGUAACACGUAUCCAACCUGCCCUUUACUCGGGGAUAGCCUUUCGAAAGACAGAUUAAUACCCGAUAUAAAGGAUGGGGAGUCGUUCCAUUAGGUUGUUGGUGAGGUAACGGCCCACCAAGCCUUCGAUGGAUAGGGGUUCUGAGAGGAAGGUCCCCCACAUUGGAACUGAGACACGGUCCAAACUCCUACGGGAGGCAGGAGUGAGGAAUAUUGGGCAAUGGGCGUUAGCCUGAACCAGCCAAGUAGCGGGAAGGAUGAAGGCUUAUGGGUCGUAAACUUCUUUUAUAUAAGAAGAUGUAUUAUAUGAAUAAGGAUCGGCUAACUCCGUGCCAGCCGCCGCGGUAAUUC
RNAcentral lists this ribosomal RNA (406 nucleotides) under uncultured bacterium. Its description in RNAcentral is "partial 16S ribosomal RNA". It matches the Rfam family "Bacterial small subunit ribosomal RNA", at positions 28 to 526 of the family's 1533-position model. The record is from RNAcentral.